This 497-nucleotide ribosomal RNA is filed under the name uncultured bacterium. Its description in RNAcentral is "partial 16S ribosomal RNA". It matches the Rfam family "Bacterial small subunit ribosomal RNA", at positions 28 to 507 of the family's 1533-position model. The record is from RNAcentral.
GAUGAACGCUGGCGGCGUGCCUAAUACAUGCAAGUCGAGCGAACGGACGAUAAGCUUGCUUCCCAGAUGUUAGCGGCGGACGUGCGAGUAACACGUUGAUAACUUACCUAUAAGACUGGGAUAACUUCGGGAAACCGGAGCUCAUACCGGAUAAUAUUUUGAACUUCAUGGUUCAAAAGUGAAAGACUGUCUUGCUGUCACUUAUAGAUGGAUCCGCGCUGCAUUAGCUAGUUGGUAAGGUAACGGCUUACCACGGCAACGAUGCAUAGCCGACCUGAGAGGGUGAUCGGCCACACUGGAACUGAGACACGGUCCAGACUCCUACGGGAGGCAGCAGUAGGGAAUCUUCCGCAAUGGGCGAAAGCCUGACGGAGCAACGCCGCGUGAGUGAUGAAGGUCUUCGGAUCGUAAAACUCUGUUAUUAGGGAAGAAGAUAUGUGUAAGUAACUGUGCACAUCUUGACGGUACCUAAUCAGAAAGCCACGGCUAACUACGUG